This 65-nucleotide transfer RNA is filed under the name Pogonostoma subtiligrossum. RNAcentral's name for it is "tRNA-Trp". Lineage: Eukaryota; Metazoa; Arthropoda; Insecta; Coleoptera; Carabidae. The record is from RNAcentral.
AAGGAUUUAAGUUAAUUUAAACUAAUUACCUUCAAAGUAAUCAAUAAAAUUGUUUUUAAGCCUUA